This 301-nucleotide ribosomal RNA is filed under the name uncultured bacterium. RNAcentral's name for it is "partial 16S ribosomal RNA". It matches the Rfam family "Bacterial small subunit ribosomal RNA", at positions 509 to 807 of the family's 1533-position model. The record is from RNAcentral.
CAGCAGCCGCGGUAACACGGAGGGGGCUAGCGUUGCUCGGAAUUACUGGGCGUAAAGCGCACGUAGGCGGCUUUGUAAGUUAGAGGUGAAAGCCCGGAGCUCAACUCCGGGAUUGCCUUUAAGACUGCAGAGCUAGCAGGUGAGAGAGGUGAGUGGAAUUCCGAGUGUAGAGGUGAAAUUCGUAGAUAUUCGGAAGAACACCAGUGGCGAAGGCGGCUCACUGGCUCAUACUGGACGCUGAGGUGCGAAAGCGUGGGGAGCAAACAGGAUUAGAUACCCCAGUAGUCCCUGUCUCUUAUAC